Apis cerana (Asiatic honeybee) is the source of this 1924-nucleotide RNA transcript. It is a transcript of the gene named FUN14 domain-containing protein 1, with no coding region annotated. NCBI's taxonomy places the organism in Eukaryota, Metazoa, Arthropoda, Insecta, Hymenoptera, Apidae. The record is from RefSeq and is a predicted model, not a curated record.
CGCAAUUUACUCUCUCGACACCUUGUCACCUCAUCAGGACGAUAAGUUUUUAAAAGCGGCAACCAGGUUAAAUCAGGAUGGCGAAUCACGCGACGGAAGACCAUUAUCAUGGCUCAUGUCGACUUAUAAUUCCGACGGUCCCUCAGUGAUUUCACUAUUUUACCGUCUUUACUGUUUUUCAAACUGAACAAUCAUUUUAGAAAACCGGAGAUUUUGAUCUUUCACAUUUAUACACAAAGGCAUUUUAAUUUUAUCAAAUAAUAUUUCGAUAAUUGAAGAAUCUAGGUGAGCCUUAUAUAUAUAUAUAUAUAUAUAUAAAUUAACCAUUAUGAAAUAUUAUAUAAUUUAAGAAUAUAUCUGAAUGAUAUCAUGCCUAAAGUAUACAAGAAUACUAUCAAGUCAAGAACAACAAAAUUAUUUAAACGUGUUAAAAUGAGUCUUCCAGUAACAAAGAAAAACAAAGAUAAUGCAAACAAAGAAGAAUUGAAUAUUUCAAAACAUGCAGAAAGUAUGAUAGACAAGAUUUUAAGAGAUGUGAAUAAAAAAUCUACUACUAAACAAAUUAUUAUUGGCACAACAUCAGGAUGGUUGACUGGUUUUAUAACAAUAAAAAUUGGAAAAAUUACUGCAUUUGCAGUUGGUGGUGGAAUUAUAAUGCUCCAAAUUGCAGCACAUCAAGGUUACAUUAAAAUUAAUUGGGAUAAAAUUCAAAAAAAAGCUGAAAAAAUAACAGAUAAAGUAGAAGAAACAGUAACUGGUGAAGGACCAAAAUUUUUGGAUAAGGUAGGAACAUGGUGUCGAAACAAUUCACUUGUGGCAACAAGUUUCAUUGGUGGUUUUAUUAUUGGUUUAGCAUCCUGAAUGAGAAACUAUUAGUUUUUUUUUUAUAAAAACAUGAGUGAACAUUAUAUAUUUGUUACUUUUAGCAUAUUAACAUUAUAUGUUAGAUCGAGAGAUAUGUUGAUAAAAAGUUAGAUAAAGCUGAACAAUUAUUAAAAAAUGGCGAAUCUCGUACACGUCGUGGUUUUGCACUUGGCAUUGUAAGUGGUAAAUUGAUUUAAAUGCAUUGUACUCUGAAUGCAUAAAAAAUCAGGUGCUUAUGUCUUAAGAAUAAUAAUAAAACUGAAUAUCAAAAUAUUAAUUUAUGUUUUUAAAAAUAAUAAAAUAUAUUAAAGUUAUAUAUAUGUUAUAUAUAAAGUAAAUGAAAUUUAAUUUUUUUGUAUUUGUUGAUUUGUUUUGUUUGUUUUGUAUUUAUUGAUUUUGAUAUUAUUUUUUGUAUAUGUAUAUUCCAUAAAUACCUGAUUUUAUAAAAAAAAAAUAAUUUUUGCAUGUAUUAUAUUAGAAUAUAUUAUAUUAUAUUAGAUAUAUAUUUUAUUAUUUAACAUUAAUAAUAUAAAUAUUAUUAUUAUAAUAUAUAUAAAUAUAGAAUCUCUUAUCCAUAUUUGAUUAUUUUUGAAUAAAUUGUUUUGCAUUCAGAAUACAAUAAAAAUAAUGCAGUCAUCUUAGAUAUUAUAUUUGUAUAAUAUAGCAAUUAAUAUAAUCUUCAUCAUAUUAACUUAUGAAAAUUGCUAAAAAUAUUAAUAAAUAAAUAAGUUAAAAUAAAGAUAAUAUUAAUCUAUUGAAUAUUAUAAACAAAUUUUCUAUGAGUUUUAUAUAUAAUAAGUUAUAUAUUUUUUGAUUAAAAUAGAUAUAGUUUUAUAUCUAUAUAUUUUUGUUUUGUAACAUUCUUAAAAAAUUUAUCUAAAUAUUUUAUGGCAUAAAUAUAAAUAAAACUGAUCAUAUAAUAUUACUAUAUUCAAAAUAAUUAAUAUAUAGAUUGAUGUGUGUGUGUAUAUAUAUAUAAGAUGUAAUACUUACUUUGUUAGAAAAUGUUAUAACUUGAAAUUUUGAUUUGUGAAAAAUAAAAGAAUCUUACUGUUAUAAA